Molecule: long non-coding RNA, 1188 nt
Filed under: Oryza sativa (Asian cultivated rice)
Lineage: Eukaryota; Viridiplantae; Streptophyta; Magnoliopsida; Poales; Poaceae
Description: long non-coding RNA (OSAT_LNC001844)
Source: RNAcentral
UCCAAUUCCAAUCGAUGCAUAUUUUUUAUUAGCUAUUUACUCCACUGCUAUCGGUUACAAUAAUUCAUUCCCAUACCUUACCCCUCUCUCGAUCAAUUGUCUACAUAGCUAAACUUCUCAAUACCUCUAUGUACCUCGCAAACAUGGUAAAACUUCUCCCAAAUUAUAUGGUACAGCCUGCAUACUUCGUAGUACAGAAAACAAAUAACAAGAUGACUCCUGUCGGCUCGCCAAAUUCAUGUCUUCGUUUUAUUCAAACACAACUAUAUAGAGGUACAUGCACCAUAUAACACAAGGUACAACAUUCUCUGAAAGAACGUACGAAUUCUCGUCACAAUUCAGAUGUUGGUUAAUCUAUACGUUUACUUGUCAUAGUUCUCGUGGUACAAACGUAUAGCUUUAUCACCUAAUAGUGUAACCAUAUAUGGCUCAAAAUCCCCUGCUGGAGCAAAGGAAGCGAAGGCCUUGAGCAUAGCUUUGUUUUUGCCCAGGUUUCAUGGCGAGAGAGGUGAUAGUGGAGGUGGGCAUGGAGAUGGAACAUUCGGAUCGUUUGUGUUGCACGCAGGACCUACGGCCUGAGCAUCUUGUUGCAUGGCAGCUGUGGAUUGAACUCCAUGUGGAUCACCCAAAGCACGCCUCCCUGGUGGAAAAAUUCAUGUGAGCACAAAAUAAUCUACAGAUGAGAUGCUCAUUAUCUGCUCGAUCAUAUAAGAUGCUUUAAAUUAACAAUUGUCAGUUAACUCAAGUUUAUUUUUAGAAGGCCAGAUGAGGCGACUCUCGAAGAAAAAUUUGCUCUUUUUUUUUUCAAGAUAGUGGAAAUGGUUUACAUCUCCCGUCUUUGCCGUAUCAUGGGACGUUACGGCCGGCCAAAGAAAAUUUUGUUUCUAACCUGAAAUUGAAGAGGAAAAAAAAUAUAUAUGUGGGGAUAAGGAUCUCAACUGUACCUAUACUGAGCCCCAGCAAAGCUGUUGGCAUAGCAAGAACAAUUAGAACUGCUAGCACAGUCACCAAGAUAAGGGAGUGUGUAGAGAACCUUCGCUUGUUCAUCUCUGUUUCUCUUUUAACUUCACCGUUGUAUUUUAUCUACCCUUCACCUUAUGCUUAGCUGGUUUGUUUUAGCUUGCCUUCUUGCUAUCUCUUAUACCGACCAUCCAAAGGAAUUCUCUCAAAGGAUAAGGCGUAAAAAGG